CUUGGGAAAAGUCAGUUACAACUUGGACCUAAAUAGAGAAGGACAAGUAACGCGGAGAAAGAUCAAAGGAUAAUCGGCUUAGCGCGAGCUCUUCGCGAAACGAUGUGCGUUCGGAUCACGUGACCUCCCGUACAGGUAGCGAGCAUAUCGCGGCUGUUGAUGACUUUUUGUGUCAUUUGGACAGGUAGCUGGUGAUAACGCGAGGAAAACGUUCGGGUGGAUGAGUCAAGACACUUAUAGAGAUAAAAUAUUCUCUCCACAAGAUGCCAGAAAGUUAAAAUUGGACAAUGCACCAUUGCCCAAGAGGAGACUCACUAAUUAAACAUUUGGACAGUAAUUCACAUAGGUCAAUGAGAAAUUAGUUUAUACCUUUUAUAAAUAAGUUAAUACUACUUGGAUACAAAUAGGAAAGAACUCCAACAUGACUUUCACAAAAAGAGACAAGACAAGAAAACUGCACAUGUAUUGUAUAUUCAUCAUCACUAGCUUUGUAACAAGCAUUUUAAAAUUUUAAUGUUUACUUUUAUAAUAAUAAAUAUUGGAAUGUACUCAAGUUGUUUUAUA
Long non-coding RNA from Lingula anatina, 564 nucleotides. RefSeq lists it as uncharacterized. NCBI's taxonomy places the organism in Eukaryota, Metazoa, Brachiopoda, Lingulata, Lingulida, Lingulidae. The record is from RefSeq and is a predicted model, not a curated record.